CAGCAGCCGCGGUAAUACAGAGGGUGCGAGCGUUAAUCGGAUUUACUGGGCGUAAAGCGUGCGUAGGCGGUUCGUUAAGUCUGUUGUGAAAGCCCCGGGCUCAACCUGGGAAUGGCAAUGGAUACUGGCGAGCUAGAGUGUGUCAGAGGAUGGUGGAAUUCCCGGUGUAGCGGUGAAAUGCGUAGAGAUCGGGAGGAACAUCAGUGGCGAAGGCGGCCAUCUGGGACAACACUGACGCUGAGGCACGAAAGCGUGGGGAGCAAACAGGAUUAGAUACCCGGGUAGUCCCUGUCUCUUAUAC
Molecule: ribosomal RNA, 301 nt
Filed under: uncultured bacterium
Lineage: Bacteria
Description: partial 16S ribosomal RNA
Rfam family: Bacterial small subunit ribosomal RNA
Source: RNAcentral